AUGUAUGGCUAACUGUGAUCCUUGAGAAAUCGCCCUAUGCUAGUUGUGAAAUUGUUGGUAGUAGAUAUUCAUGUGAGAAUCAUUGUGAGUCUUUGUGUUGUAUGAUUGUGUGGUAAUACUUUGUGAUGAAUAUUUUGGAACUUGUAAUUGGAACAACGGAAAUGGAAAGUAAUGUAGAAUAAUGGAAAUGGAACAAUGUGGAACAAUGAAAAUGGAACAUUGUGGAACAAUGAAAAUGGAAAUAAUGUGGAAUAGUGAAAAUGUAAGUAUUAUGAAACAACGUGUGUGAUUAGUUGUGAAUAAUUGUUGUUAUGAUCUAAAUUGUGUACCAAUAUGAUGAACAUGAGGAAAUUGUGGUUGCUAGUUGUGGAAAUGUAUUACCC
RNAcentral lists this long non-coding RNA (383 nucleotides) under Nicotiana benthamiana. Its description in RNAcentral is "long non-coding RNA (NBEN_LNC023461)". The record is from RNAcentral. Lineage: Eukaryota; Viridiplantae; Streptophyta; Magnoliopsida; Solanales; Solanaceae.